Molecule: ribosomal RNA, 388 nt
Filed under: uncultured bacterium
Lineage: Bacteria
Description: bacterial SSU rRNA
Rfam family: Bacterial small subunit ribosomal RNA
Source: RNAcentral
GGCAGACGGGUGAGUAACGCGUGGGAAUCUACCCAUCUCUACGGAACAACUCCGGGAAACUGGAGCUAAUACCGUAUACGUCCUUCGGGAGAAAGAUUUAUCGGAGAUGGAUGAGCCCGCGUUGGAUUAGCUAGUUGGUGGGGUAAUGGCUUACCAAGGCGACGAUCCAUAGCUGGUCUGAGAGGAUGAUCAGCCACAUUGGGACUGAGACACGGCCCAAACUCCUACGGGAGGCAGCAGUGGGGAAUAUUGGACAAUGGGCGAAAGCCUGAUCCAGCCAUGCCGCGUGAGUGAUGAAGGCCCUAGGGUUGUAAAGCUCUUUCAACGGUGAAGAUAAUGACGGUAACCGUAGAAGAAGCCCCGGCUAACUUCGUGCCAGCCGCCGCGG